UCCUCGAUAGCUCAGUUGGUAGAGCAGCUGACUGUUAAUCAGCGGGUCACAGGUUCGAGUCCUGUUCGAGGAGCCA
This 76-nucleotide transfer RNA is filed under the name Planctomycetota bacterium. RNAcentral describes it as "Planctomycetes bacterium tRNA-Asn". It matches the Rfam family "tRNA". From Rfam's summary of the family: Transfer RNA (tRNA) molecules are approximately 80 nucleotides in length. Their secondary structure includes four short double-helical elements and three loops (D, anti-codon, and T loops). Lineage: Bacteria; Pseudomonadati; Planctomycetota. The record is from RNAcentral.